GUCGAGGGGCAGCAUGAAAGUUUGCUUGCAAACUUUUGAUGGCGACCGGCGCACGUGUGAGUAACACGUAUCCAACCUGCCUCAUACUCGGGGAUAGCCUUUCGAAAGAAAGAUUAAUACCCGAUGUCAUAGUCCUACCGCAUGAUGGGAUUAUUAAAGAAUUUCGGUAUGGGAUGGGGAUGCGUUCCAUUAGUUAGUUGGCGGGGUGACGGCCCACCAAGACAACGAUGGAUAGGGGUUCUGAGAGGAAGGUCCCCCACAUUGGAACUGAGACACGGUCCAAACUCCUACGGGAGGCAGCAGUGAGGAAUAUUGGUCAAUGGACGAGAGUCUGAACCAGCCAAGUAGCGUGAAGGAUGACUGCCCUAUGGGUUGUAAACUUCUUUUAUAUGGGAAUAAAACGUUCCACGUGUGGAAUUUUGUAUGUACCAUAUGAAUAAGGAUCGGCUAACUCCGUGCCAGCAGCCGCGGUAAUACGGAGGAUCCGAGCGUUAUCCGGAUUUAUUGGGUUUAAAGGGAGCGUAGGUGGAUUGUUAAGUCAGUUGUGAAAGUUUGCGGCUCAACCGUAAAAUUGCAGUUGAAACUGGCAGUCUUGAGUACAGUAGAGGUGGGCGGAAUUCGUGGUGUAGCGGUGAAAUGCUUAGAUAUCACGAAGAACUCCGAUUGCGAAGGCAGCUCACUGGACUGCAACUGACACUGAGGCUCGAAAGUGUGGGUAUCAAACAGGAUUAGAUACCCUGGUAGUCCACACAGUAAACGAUGAAUACUCGCUGUUUGCGAUAUACAGCAAGCGGCCAAGCGAAAGCAUUAAGUAUUCCACCUGGGGAGUACGCCGGCAACGGUGAAACUC
RNAcentral lists this ribosomal RNA (850 nucleotides) under uncultured bacterium. Its description in RNAcentral is "bacterial SSU rRNA". It matches the Rfam family "Bacterial small subunit ribosomal RNA", at positions 61 to 902 of the family's 1533-position model. The record is from RNAcentral.